Molecule: long non-coding RNA, 4700 nt
Organism: Ananas comosus (pineapple)
Lineage: Eukaryota; Viridiplantae; Streptophyta; Magnoliopsida; Poales; Bromeliaceae
Exons: 5
Source: RefSeq, a predicted model, not a curated record
CACGUUUUCGUAUAGCGUUUCCUCUCCCCUCCAUCCCGAGUGUCUCUCUCCUCUCUCCGCUGCGCGUUCCCUUUCCUCUCACCAUUUCAUACGAUAGAUACAUCAUUCCCUCUCCCCUCUCCACCGCAUACAAUGGAUCCGAUGAGAUGGAAGCAAAUCUCAUCAAAUCUGCCCUCUCUUCUCACCAUUUCGUAUGGAAUCCGAAGGUUUUUAGAUGAAACCUGCAGUGGCAAAAGGGGGUUUACAAGUUUUGCUGGCCAAUUUCGAUGAAUGGGUUUUUUAGUUACUUCUCAGACAAUGUUAACAAAGAAAAACCACCUGGCUGGAACUGAAUAGAGAUAAUUCCACCAUCUUUACAUGCAAUCGAUGAAUGAGCCUUAGUAUAUAUCAGAUGCAUUUGGUGACACCUUUCAAUUUUCAGGCAGAGAGACUUUCUGGAUUCUAUGAAGUAUGCAAAGGUGUUUAUAUCGGACGUGAAGAAAUAUUGUUGAAAAUUGAAUAGAUGCAUGCCAUUGUUGCGGCCCCUGUGGACCUCUAAUUAUCAUGCGAAGAUGAUGAGCUCGAUUUAUAAUCUUAUACAGGAAAGCAAAAUGUUGAAUUUUUGGCUGCUAUCAUUUAUUCCACUUUAUUAUUUUCACACUGUUGUGAUUUAUUUAGAGUUCUGAAGUAACAGUAUGUAAUUCUCAAUUUUCUUUAAUUGCUCUUCAAUUUGUAAAAAUGAUGACUUUCGGGAGUAAAUUGUGGUUUUUGGGUAAAGUGUUCCUUCAAUAUAGGAUUACUAAAAGUGCUUGAGUUUCAAGAAUGCUGCUUUUUUUGGGGUCAAUUUUUGUUGUUAUAAAUGUCAGGUAGUGAUUUUAUUUCUUUUUGAUGCAUCCAAAUUAGCGAUUGAUGAAAUUUUGUGCAAAAUUUUCCAUUGAAAAGAAAUUGCAUGAGACCAAACUCAUUUACGAAGGUUGAUUAGUCAAACUAAUUCACAUUUCUGAUUUCUUUUUCUCAAGAUUUUGGUUGGUUCAUCAAAAGAUUAUCUUUUGAACCAUCAAGUCCCCUACUUUGUUCUUUUCAACAACUCCCAUUAGCGGAGCCGUAGCCAAUGAUGGGAAGGGUAGUUUGACAUUAAUCUUUCUAAGUCGAUUGAUAAAUUUGAAUACUUUCACACUUUAUUCCUAAUGUUGAUUGAUAAGAAUAUAGCUUAUUUUGUAUGAUAUAGUGUCGCCAGUUUUUGCAAAAUUUUCAACAGAUAUCACAAUUUGACUUCACAUAUUUUGAGCAAAAACACAUUCCAUCCCUAUUCCCUACUAAAGUUGAUCAUGUUUUAGGAGGCCUUAAACCAUUCUUUUUUUCUUUUUUAACUUUAAUUUUCUUUUAAUUGACACCUCUGUAGCUUUCAAUUAUCUUAUUUAAUUUUUUUAUUAUGAAUUAAUUUAAAGUUUUUGUUAAAUUUUAUGUUCAAUUAGUUAUAAACCCACAUAGCCGGCUGCUUCUUUACUUACCUCUGCUCUCUGCCAACCUUUGUAAGUUCUACUCCAUCUCUGUCUACUUUUGUGCACUUUGUUUAUUUGUAUACAUCUAUAAAGUGGUUCUAUACUUUGGUCGAUUAUGGAAAUUAAUUUAUAAUGUAGUUUUUUUUUAUCGCAUAUAGUUACGAUAAACAUUAUUCGAAAUUUUAAUUUGGAAUUCUUAAUUGACACAACAUUAAUUUUUCAGAUUAAUACAUAUAAUAGUGAUCUACAGUGCAAUGCUCCAGUGUAAAGCCUUUUCUAUUCUUUAUCUAUAGAAUGCAGAGUGAAGUUCUCAUGUGGCAUGUUUUUCAUUUUUAAGAGAUAGCUCUGUAUGUUAAUUUUUGUCCAAAUUCCUAUGCUUUGGAAUGCUCUCACCAUUUAUUUGUAUACAUUCAUGUUUUCCCAUGCAAUUUCUAUGCUUAAUAAGGUCGAGUUAAGUUCUUUGAUUUUGCUUAGAGUUCGAUACAUAUAUGUAUCUAGAUACUAUGAAACUUUGGAAGAAGAGGAUGCAAAAGCUAUCAAAUUAGUGCACAAAAUGUCAGAGUAUCAAAAAAGUACAAAGAUGCAAAAAAUAAUCCACAAAGACACAGAGGAAGAAGACAAAAUGGAGUGGAGUUCGAGUAGUUUCUUCCUUUUCCUUGAGUUGGCAUGUUGCACUUUUUCAAAUUAUUACUCUGAUUGCCGUUAAGAAUUCUUUGUUUCUAGCUAUUCAGUUAGGUCUUCUUCCCACUUUUUGAAGUUUGAAUUAUGCACUGGUGUGCACUUUUUUCAAGUCUCUUUGGUUUGUAAUGUGCUUGAUUAUUUCUCCAACUAAUUAAUUUUUUGUUUUACCCUUGAACUUCAAUUCUCAAUUAUUUACACUAAGUGCUCAAGCUAUUAAUUUGAUUUAAGUGCAAUUAUAACCAUGUAGGUUCCAACCGUGUUUAACUGUUCAUCGAGUAGGUAGUUCAUCCACUAUGUAACCUUGCGCAACAUUCAUCAUGUGCUGUUUGAAGUCUAAAUUUUAUUUGCUCACUUGGUCAAAAAGUUUUCCUAGAAGGCAUUGAAAAUUUGUUUAAGAAUAUGUGAUUUUCAAAGUGGCAUUCUAUGUUUAAGAGCUCACCGAGGAAGGAUUAGCAACACUUUAGGUUGCUGAUUUUCAAUUCUCUUUUAAAGCAUAUAAAUUAGUGAGCUUUUCGUUUCUUUAUGAUCUUAUUGACAGGUUCUAAUUGAGACAAAAAUUUUGAUGCCUUUUGAUAAAGGGCACUCUUUUCCAUUCUUUUUGAAGGGUCCUCUUCUCAUACUAAUAAUUGGUUUAUUAAUACAAAAUACUCAUGAAAAUUUUUUGUUAGCAAAAUUAAAUCUAAUUUUGACAAUAUGCUACACUGAGAGAAGGUUUGAAUGAGUUCACGUAGAAAAUAUUUGCUUAGAUGCAGUUUCAAAUAAGAAUAUUUGCUGAAUAUUGCAAAAUGGUUUUAAAGACUAUUUAAGAUCACCUUUCUUUCCUCUUUAUUUGGAUGCUUUAAAUAUAUAGUUCUAUAUGUAAUUGUUGGUAAUGCUUAAAACCUGUUAGAUGUCAUUUGGGCUCUGCAUCUCCCCAGUUGAUUGGACCAUGUAAUUCAUUUACUUAUAUUGAGUUUCUUGGCAGUCAUAUAUAUUGCUUAAUUAGGCAAUGUAAUAUAGUGAAUGCAAUUUUGAGUGCACUAUACAAGGAAACAAAAAAAAUGAGAAGUUUAUAGUAUUUUAAUUGCAAGUAAUUUUGUUAAGAAUCUAGCUACUCUGCUAGGUAUAUGCUUGGAAAAGAGGGGGGUAUGAGAGCCUUAGAUUCGGAGAUGACAAGAGUAGUAAAAUGGUUCUUUAGAAGGUUCAGCUCUUAGUUGGAGAAACCAAAUACAAUAUUACAAAAGUAAAAUUAUUCUUUAUAUUGGAUAAUAGAGAGAUCAUAUGAAAAUUUCUUGAAUUUUUCAUUGUUAAGUUAUCUAAGAAAAGUUGAACUUACUAAUUUAAACAUCUAUAUAUAGGACAUUCAUUCCAUCGCAUGCAGAAUAUUUUUUUUAGGUAUUAUGUUUAUCUAGCAAGCUGUUAAACAAGCUAAACUUAUGUCAGUUUGGUUGUCAACAUUAAACUGUGUGUGUUAAGCCUUUUGACUAGGAUUUUUAUGUCUAUUAGCUUAUUUUGAGGUUGAUGAGAGUAAUAGUUGAAAUUCUUCCUUUUUUUGUUUGUCAUUUGCAAUUUUGUGAAAUUUUGUUCAUAUUUGAUGAAUUUUUUAUAUAAAUUAUUGUUUUUUUGCCUGAAUCUAAAGAAAAUCUUACUUGCUCCCAACAAAUAUUUGUAGAUUAUACUGUCAUUUUCAUCAUAAACUAUCUAAUUUCGUUUUUUCUAUAGAAUCAACCCGCCGCAACGCGCGGGUAUCUUCACUAGUUAUUAUCUAUGAUACAGUAAAAUUUUUGCGCCGCUUGUUUGACCGAGUUCUAGAACAUCGUUGAAAUUAAUCCAGCAGUAAGUUUCAGAGGACUGUACGGAACCCGAUUCCCAACCGUUGGACGGACGAGAUCUUCCAAACUCGUCGAACAAUUCGAGCCGACAAUGUGGACGGUCAAGAUCGCCGAGUUAUCUCUCCGCUCCACCACUCUCACCGACCUUCCGGAUGAUGUCGUCGGCCCCGGUGCGGUUCUCCGCCCACUGGAUCUCGUCACCGCAGGUGAGGUUAAGAAACCCCUCACCAUCUUCGAUAGUUGCGCCUCGUCUCCUAUCUCUUCCUCCUCCUCCUCCGCUCUGAAACGAAAUCAUCAACCAAGUUUAGUUUCAGCCUAACAAUGGCGCGUCUCCCCCGAGCUUCACCUCUAGGGUUUCGCCAUGCGGCAGAGCACGUCGGAGAGUUUCCUCUUUGUGCUCGUUUGUAGCCCCCAUGUGCUGCUCCAAGAAUGGUCAUGGUGAGGUGAGAUUGAUUUAAUCCUUUCCAUCCUGAUUGGUUCCUGGGCUUAAUUAGAAUUAGGUCAUCCUCGGGUGCUUAUUUUGCGGAUUUGUACAUUAUAUGUGAUGCGCUCUGGCUAAUUCUCGCUAUUUUGUGCUUUGCAAUGAAGUAAUAAGAUAGUAUGUUCCAAUGGAGCAGAUCCGUAUCAGUAGUUAUACCUUCAUUCAGAUAUAAAUAAACUAUGUUUAGAUUGUGCAAAAAUAUUUGCCGAGCGAUGAUCAUGAAUAAAAUGAUCAAGGAAAUUCUUG